Carassius auratus (goldfish) is the source of this 176-nucleotide long non-coding RNA. RefSeq lists it as uncharacterized. The transcript has 3 exons. NCBI's taxonomy places the organism in Eukaryota, Metazoa, Chordata, Actinopteri, Cypriniformes, Cyprinidae. The record is from RefSeq and is a predicted model, not a curated record.
UUCAGUCAAGAGUCAAGAGAAAGAUUGUUGAUGAACAGAAAAGAGCAGAUUUGUGUGCAUUUGUGACCACAAACAUCACUAAAGGAGAAGAAAUGAUGUUCGACUGUGGAGAUCCUGACAUCUCAUGGAGACAGGUAGCAGGAUGCUUGGUCCAUUACAUCCUGACGGAUGGACAA